RNAcentral lists this ribosomal RNA (253 nucleotides) under uncultured bacterium. RNAcentral's name for it is "partial 16S ribosomal RNA". It matches the Rfam family "Bacterial small subunit ribosomal RNA", at positions 524 to 776 of the family's 1533-position model. The record is from RNAcentral.
UACGAAGGGGGCUAGCGUUGUUCGGAAUCACUGGGCGUAAAGCGCACGCAGGCGGAUCGAUAAGUCGGGGGUGAAAGCCCGGGGCUCAACCUCGGAAUUGCCUUCGAUACUGUCGGUCUCGAGUCCGGGAGAGGUGAGUGGAAUUCCUAGUGUAGAGGUGAAAUUCGUAGAUAUUAGGAAGAACACCAGUGGCGAAGGCGGCUCACUGGCCCGGUACUGACGCUCAGGUGCGAAAGCUAGGGGAGCGAAUGGG